GACGAACCGUGCAAACGUUAUUCGGAAUCACUGGGCUUAAAGCGCGUGUAGGCGGGCCAGCACGUCGGUCGCUGAAAUCCCCCGGCUCAACCGGGGAACGGGCGCCGAUACGACUGGCCUGGAGGGGGGUAGGGGGAGCCGGAACUCACGGUGGAGCGGUGAAAUGCGUUGAGAUCGUGAGGAACGCCCGUGGCGAAAGCGGGCUCCUGGACCCCGCCUGACGCUGAGACGCGAAAGCCAGGGGAGCGAACGGG
RNAcentral lists this ribosomal RNA (254 nucleotides) under uncultured bacterium. Its description in RNAcentral is "partial 16S ribosomal RNA". It matches the Rfam family "Bacterial small subunit ribosomal RNA", at positions 524 to 776 of the family's 1533-position model. The record is from RNAcentral.